GUUUUUUAAAAGACUUAUUUAUUUUAUUCUAGAGAGAGAGAGUACACUCGAGCAGGGAGAGGGGCAGAGGAAGAGGGAGAGAGAGAACCCCACUCAGAUCCCCAACUUAGCCCCAUGGGGCUCAAUCCCAUGAUAUCAAGAUCAUGACCCCACUAGAGCCAAAACCAAGAGCCAGUUGCCCAACCAACUGAGCCACCCAGGCUCCCCACUGUGUAUAUCUUUCGACUUAAACCACUGUCUUAAAGGCAGACAAUCAAUCAUUUUCAAAUUCUUUGCCCAGUUUUACUAACUAAUGUAGAGCAUCCACAUGGCCCAACGUACUGCAUAUUUUACCAUCUGUUGUAGAGAUUGUGGAAAGAAAAUUGAAAACAAAAUAUAUUGUCUUUCACAGUAAGACAAUUGCAGCUAGACACCCAGUUGCUCAAGUACAGACAUUUUUCACCAACUUUUACAAUUAAAUGUGGCCAUGGGAUAAGGCCUUGGUAAUAGAAUAAAGCAACAUGGCAGGCAUCACUUCUGUUUGGAGCCUUAAAACAUUGCAUAACCCUCCCUUAUGUUCUGUUUCUUCCUCCUUUACCCAGGAAAAUGAUAUGGCUAUGCACCAUGUAUAUGAGGUCGACAUCUUAGGAAAAGACAGAACAAUCAGAUGCAAACAGUUUCCAGAAUGACCAUGUGGAACAGUCAUUCACCAGCCAAGUCUGUCACCAUACAUCAGUUAUACGAUAAGUCAAUAAUUUUUUUUUCUUGAAGACAUUAACCUUUGGAACCUCUGUUAACACAGUUUAGCCUUCACCUUAACUAAUAUAAGUGGUUUGCACACAUUUGGAAUAAAACGAGUAUUAUCAAUUUCUUAGUAUCUUGCUAACAACAAGUCAUACAUCCAUCCAACAGCUUGUGAAGUAAUCUCAUAGAAGAUGGGGUAUAAUUACAGAAAAAACUGUCCGUUUUAUUCUGCAAAGAAAAGGUUAUUUGUUCGGCUUCAGUUAGCAGGGGACAUAUUCACACUUACAUCUGAUGAGACUUCGAUUAGAACCGUACUGCAAAGUAAAUCAGAAAUAUUGAACAUGUUUAUUAUUAUUGCAACCAAUGAAUAUGGUGGUACACCUUGCCACUAGGCCUUCUUUAAUGUCUCUCAAUAAAAUUAUACAAUUCUCUUCA
This 1158-nucleotide long non-coding RNA is filed under the name Vulpes vulpes (red fox). Its description in RNAcentral is "lncRNA (ENSVVUG00000029993.1)". The record is from RNAcentral. Lineage: Eukaryota; Metazoa; Chordata; Mammalia; Carnivora; Canidae.